This 176-nucleotide microRNA precursor is filed under the name Paramuricea clavata. The record is from RNAcentral. Lineage: Eukaryota; Metazoa; Cnidaria; Anthozoa; Malacalcyonacea; Plexauridae.
UAUAAAAAAAAUAAUGAAUGUUUUUAUUCGUGCAAUGGUAGGAAUAUUUUAAUUCGGUGAAAGAUGGAAUGUUCCAUUCAACUCGGCUGUCGCGUUGUUGAAUGGAACAUUCCAUCUUUCACCUAAUGAAAGUAUUCUUACCAUUGCACUCAUAAACAUUCAUUAUUUGUAUAAUA